RNAcentral lists this ribosomal RNA (624 nucleotides) under uncultured archaeon. RNAcentral describes it as "bacterial SSU rRNA". It matches the Rfam family "Archaeal small subunit ribosomal RNA", at positions 147 to 776 of the family's 1478-position model. The record is from RNAcentral.
UAAUACCCUAUAGGUUACAGAUGCUGGAAUGCUCUGUAAUCAAAAGUUCCGGCGCCCUAGGAUGGAUCUGCGGCCGAUUAGGUUGUUGUUGGGGUAAUGGCCCAACAAGCCAGUAAUCGGUACGGGUUGUGGGAGCAAGAGCCCGGAGUUGGAUUCUGAGACACGAAUCCAGGCCCUACGGGGCGCAGCAGGCGCGAAAACUUUACAAUGCGGGCAACCGUGAUAAGGGAACCUCGAGUGCCUGUAAAUGCAGGCUGUUCAGAUGCCUAAAACACAUCUGGAGAAAGGGCCGGGCAAGACCGGUGCCAGCCGCCGCGGUAAUACCGGCGGCUCGAGUGGUGGCCACUUUUAUUGGGCUUAAAGCGUUCGUAGCUGGGUUGUUAAGUCUCUUGGGAAAUCUGGCGGCUUAACCGUCAGGCGUCUAAGGGAUACUGGCAAUCUUGGAACCGGGAGAGGUGAGGGGUACUUCGGGGGUAGGAGUGAAAUCCUGUAAUCCUCGAGGGACCACCUGUGGCGAAGGCGCCUCACCAGAACGGCUUCGACAGUGAGGGACGAAAGCUGGGGGAGCAAACCGGAUUAGAUACCCGGGUAGUCCCAGCCGUAAACUAUGCGCGUUAGGUGUAU